UGAAAUCUCGGGGCUCAACCUCGAAACUGCGUCUGAAACUGCAGGUCUAGAAUCUUGGAGGGGGAAGGGGAAUUUCGCAUGUAGGGGUAAAAUCCGUAGAUAUGCGAAGGAACACCAGAGGCGAAGGCGCCUUCCUGGACAAGUAUUGACGCUGAGGCGCGAAAGCGUGGGGAUCAAACAGGAUUAGAUACCCUGGUAGUCCACGCUGUAAACGAUGAAUACUAGAUAUUGCAGACUUUGACCUCUGCAGUGUCGUAGCUAACGCGUUAAG
This 271-nucleotide ribosomal RNA is filed under the name uncultured Bacteriovorax sp. Its description in RNAcentral is "partial 16S ribosomal RNA". It matches the Rfam family "Bacterial small subunit ribosomal RNA", at positions 595 to 864 of the family's 1533-position model. The record is from RNAcentral. Lineage: Bacteria; Pseudomonadati; Bdellovibrionota; Bacteriovoracia; Bacteriovoracales; Bacteriovoracaceae.